This 438-nucleotide ribosomal RNA is filed under the name uncultured bacterium. Its description in RNAcentral is "bacterial SSU rRNA". It matches the Rfam family "Bacterial small subunit ribosomal RNA", at positions 338 to 793 of the family's 1533-position model. The record is from RNAcentral.
CCUACGGGAGGCAGCAGUGGGGAAUAUUGCACAAUGGGGGAAACCCUGAUGCAGCGACGCCGCGUGAGUGAAGAAGUAUUUCGGUAUGUAAAGCUCUAUCAGCAGGGAAGAAAAUGACGGUACCUGAUUAAGAAGCCCCGGCUAACUACGUGCCAGCAGCCGCGGUAAUACGUAGGGGGCAAGCGUUAUCCGGAUUUACUGGGUGUAAAGGGAGCGUAGACGGUGAUGCAAGUCAGAAGUGAAAGCCCGGGGCUCAACUCCGGGACUGCUUUUGAAACUGUGUGACUGGAGUGCAGGAGAGGUAAGCGGAAUUCCUGGUGUAGCGGUGAAAUGCGUAGAUAUCAGGAGGAACACCAGUGGCGAAGGCGGCUUACUGGACUGUAACUGACGUUGAGGCUCGAAAGCGUGGGGAGCAAACAGGAUUAGAUACCCCUGUAG